GGGAGGCAGCAGUGGGGAAUAUUGCACAAUGGGCGCAAGCCUGAUGCAGCAACGCCGCGUGAGCGAAGAAGGUCUUCGGAUCGUAAAGCUCUUUUCUUAGGGAAGAAAACUGACGGUACCUAAGGAAUAAGCACCGGCUAAAUACGUGCCAGCAGCCGCGGUAAUACGUAUGGUGCAAGCGUUAUCCGGAAUCACUGGGCGUAAAGGGUGCGUAGGCGGUUUUGCAAGUCAGAAGUGAAAGGCUACGGCUCAACCGUAGUAAGCUUUUGAAACUGCAAGACUAGAGUGCAGGAGAGGAAAGUGGAAUUCCUAGUGUAGAGGUGAAAUUCGUAGAUAUUAGGAGGAACACCAGUGGCGAAGGCGACUUUCUGGACUGUAACUGACGCUGAUGCACGAAAGCGUGGGGAGCGAACAGGAUUAGAUACCCUGGUAG
RNAcentral lists this ribosomal RNA (433 nucleotides) under uncultured bacterium. RNAcentral describes it as "bacterial SSU rRNA". It matches the Rfam family "Bacterial small subunit ribosomal RNA", at positions 343 to 793 of the family's 1533-position model. The record is from RNAcentral.